Molecule: ribosomal RNA, 402 nt
Filed under: uncultured bacterium
Lineage: Bacteria
Description: bacterial SSU rRNA
Rfam family: Bacterial small subunit ribosomal RNA
Source: RNAcentral
UCGGGAAUUUUGGGCAAUGGGCGAAAGCCUGACCCAGCAACACCGCGUGAGGGAUGAAGUAUUUCGGUAUGUAAACCUCGAAAGAAUGGGAAGAAUAAAUGACGGUACCAUUUAUAAGCUCCGGCUAACUACGUGCCAGCAGCCGCGGUAAUACGUAGGGAGCAAGCGUUGUUCGGAUUUACUGGGCGUAAAGGGCGCGUAGGCGGCGCGGUAAGUCACUUGUGAAAUCUCUGAGCUUAACUCAGAACGGCCAAGUGAUACUGCUGUGCUAGAGUGUGGAAGAGGCCACCGGAAUUCUUGGUGUAGCGGUGAAAUGCGUAGAUAUCAAGAGGAACACCUGAGGCGAAGGCGGGUUGCUGGGCCGACACUGACGCUGAUGCGCGAAAGCCAGGGGAGCAAACG